This 115-nucleotide ribosomal RNA is filed under the name Candidatus Peregrinibacteria bacterium. Lineage: Bacteria; Candidatus Peregrinibacteriota. The record is from RNAcentral.
CUUGGUGUCUUUAGCGAAGGGGGUACACCUGUUCCCAUUCCGAACACAGAAGUUAAGCCCUUCAGCGCCGAUGGUAGUGCGGUAUACACCGUGCCAGAGUAGGCCGACGCCAAGA